GACGAACGCUGGCGGCGUGCUUAACACAUGCAAGUCGAACGGUAAGGCCCUUCGGGGUACACGAGUGGCGAACGGGUGAGUAACACGUGGGUGAUCUGCCCUGCACUUCGGGAUAAGCCUGGGAAACUGGGUCUAAUACCGGAUAGGACCACUGCCUGCAUGGGUGGUGGUGGAAAGCUUUUGCGGUGUGGGAUGGGCCCGCGGCCUAUCAGCUUGUUGGUGGGGUGAUGGCCUACCAAGGCGACGACGGGUAGCCGGCCUGAGGGGGUGACCGGCCACACUGGGACUGAGAUACGGCCCAGACUCCUACGGGAGGCGGCAGUGGGGAAUAUUGCACAAUGGGCGCAAGCCUGAUGCAGCGACGCCGCGUGAGGGAUGACGGCCUUCGGGUUGUAAACCUCUUUCAGCACCGACGAAGCGCAAGUGACGGUAGGUGCAGAAGAAGGACCGGCCAACUACGUGCCAGCAGCCGCGGUAA
RNAcentral lists this ribosomal RNA (478 nucleotides) under uncultured bacterium. Its description in RNAcentral is "partial 16S ribosomal RNA". It matches the Rfam family "Bacterial small subunit ribosomal RNA", at positions 28 to 523 of the family's 1533-position model. The record is from RNAcentral.